RNAcentral lists this transfer RNA (70 nucleotides) under Eutypa lata UCREL1. It matches the Rfam family "tRNA". From Rfam's summary of the family: Transfer RNA (tRNA) molecules are approximately 80 nucleotides in length. Their secondary structure includes four short double-helical elements and three loops (D, anti-codon, and T loops). Lineage: Eukaryota; Fungi; Ascomycota; Sordariomycetes; Xylariales; Diatrypaceae. The record is from Rfam by way of RNAcentral.
GAUACAUUAGUUUAAUUGGUAAAAUAAUUGAUAAAAACAAUAGUUAAAAGUUCAAGUCUUUUAUGUAUCA